CGGGCUGCGGAGGCAACCGUGGUAAGCUGUGCUUGCAUCAUGUUUGGAAACUGUCGUACUGCGCGAAGCUUUGCAGCUUCCCUCCUUAAAGGCAGUGAGAUGGCAAACCCACUGGGAGGAAUGAGAAACUCCAGGCGCACCACCUUAAGAGCUCGUGACACUCACUACAAAGGUCUGCAGCCACUCCUGAAGCAAGCGAGACCACAAACCCACCAGCAGAAAGAAACUGAACACGUCCAAACAUCUGAAGGAACUAGCUCCAGACACACCAUCUUUAAAAACUGUCACACUCACUGUGAAGGUCUGCGGCUUUAUUCUUUUAGUCAGUGAGACCAAUUCCAGACACAAGACCAUCUCAUCUCAAGAGACCAGGACGUCCGGGCACCCCUAGAAUGUAGCUGCUGGCAGAGCCUGAAGUCUAUCCAGCUCAUGCUCUUCCCUGAUAUCCUUGACAGAUUGUGGGAUGGUUCAGCCUCUGCAAGGACAUGGCCAAUGAUGGGGGGCUGGUUUUGGGGGCAGCACUCUAGGCAAGGGAAGAAAUAAAGUGUCUGGGAACUGGCGUGGUGAAGGGGCACUUUGUGGAGAAGAUGUGUUCACAUUUGGAUGUGUCGAGGGUGGAAUGAUAUGAGGAAAGUCAAAGGGUGCCCACCCCCAGAGCCUAGGUGUGGGCACAGCACUGCACCACGCCUUAGGGGAGAUUGGACUCUGGGCAGAGAUCCCAAGAGAAGCAGGAGUUGGAGUCUUGGGGGCCAGUGUGAUAGGGAACUAACUUUACUUUAAAGCCAAUUUGUCAGUAAGAAAAAACGAGGUGCACCUUGUAGGAGAAAAAGUCACAAGCUUGGUGUGCUUGAAGUCACAAGCCUUGCUGUGCUUGGUGAGAGGGAUCCCGAGUGUACUUGAGGCACUCUCCUGUUUAAAAGGGGAACGGUGGUUUUCUUUUCUCAGUGUAGGUUAGUGUAAAAAAUCUGCUUUGUAAUUGCAUAAGGUCUCAGCACAAACAAAAUCACAGAAAAUGUGAAAUGUAUUAUAACAGUCAACUUGCUUAGAAUGUAGUUGAACCUGCAUGCAGUAUUGAGACACCAGACAACUGUUUUCAGUCUCCACAUUUCUUUCAUUUCCUUUAUGAAAGUUACAUUAAGAAAAAAAAUAACUCCCUUGAGUAUUCUGAUAUUUUCGGUGAGUGAAACAGUAAUCUCAGCAAAGUUCAAUCUUGGUAUCAGACAGAAUUUCAGGUUGUUUCAUCUAAUUGCCACUUAAUACCAAAGACAUGAUGUUUAUUAGCAUGUAUUUCUAAUGAGAAACUAUUAUAGUCGUCCUCAAUUGUCUGAAAUAUGAAGCGGAAAAAGAAAAUUAUGAGCCCCAGAUACCAGACCAGUUGCUGAUCAGAUAGAAUAUCGUGGUUCCAGCAUAUUAUGAAAUAAAAAUUCAAAGACUGAAUACCAUGCAAAAGGUCAAUAUUCGGCAGCAUCUGAGAAGUCAUACAUCUAGAUAGACCUAAACUAUAAGUGCAGAAGUGCUACAGUAAACUAUAUGGGCUUUCUACUAAGUACUGGCUAAUUUUAAAACAUACUGAAAUUUAUGUACAUUAGUCUUUGUUAUAAGAAUUGAGAAUCCGCAUUGUAUUAUAAAGUUGAUCUACAACAGUCACUUUAUUAUAAAAUAUUUUCGGCCUGGCGCGUUGGCUCACACCUGUAAUCCCAGCACUUUGUGAGGCCGAGGCAGGCAGAUCACCUGAGGUUGGGAGUUCAAGACCAGCCUGACCAACAUGGAGAAAACCCCAUCUCUACUAAAAAUACAAAAUUAGCCGGGCGUGGAGGCAGGUGCCUGUAAUCCCAGCUACUCCGGAGGCUGAGGCAAGAGAAUCGCUUGAACCUGGGAGGCGGAGGUUGCAGUGAGCCAAGAUCUCACCAUUGCACUCCAGCCUGGGCAACAAGAGUGAAACUCCAUCUCAAAAAAAAAAAAAAAAAAAAAUUCACCAGAAGGAAAGUGCUUACCUAUUUGAACAACUCUGUACGGGUCUAUACAGUAUUCCAAGGCUCUUCAAUAAGCACAUGGUGAUGACCCAGGUCAGUCGUGGCAAGGUUGGGGAAUUAGAACAAACCUCUGUGGCAAACACAGAUUAUAGCUUGAAGUGAGCAUCACGGAUUUCUACAACAAACACUCUGACAAAUAUUUCCUGUGAUAAACAUCCACGUUCUCGAGGUGGGACAAUUAACCCAAACUUUCCAAAUUACAUAAAAACUUUUGCUCUAUCUAAUUAAGCUGAUAAAUUCAUUAUUUUAAAUGACAACAUACAAAAGAAGUAUAGAUUUUUACUUAAAACGUAUUGGAUAUGUGGGUAUUCUCUUGUCUUUCUAAGCAAAUGCUAAUAUCAGUUCAGUGCUUAACAAUGUCAGCAGCAACUGGGCCCUCUAAGUCUCCUGCUACUGAAGUUUGAGGGAUCAAGCCUCACCGUAAUUUUGACAAAGACUAAAUUCAAGAUGUCUGAGGCUUACAAUUUUCUUAUUCUACUUAAUGAGGUAGAGAAGUUCAUUUGGAAUUGAGCACUCCAUUAGACUGUUUCAGCUAAAUUUCAGGUGGCAUUUUCUAACAAUAAGAGCUGUUGAUGCUUUGGAAGGCAACAGGUUUGCUUCACUGGAAGUGAUGAUGGCCUUCCAGAAAGGGUGAGGCAAGGUUUUCUAAGAUCUCAUCCAACUAAAUGAUUCAGAAAGCGCCAGCCUGGGGAUUCCAGGUGCUUGUGACUCGGGGAUCUUUCUGCCAUCCCACCUCACCUGUUAGUCACCUUUUGAAAUUGGGUAUGAUUGAAAUGGAGUUUAGGGAAUGCUGUAAUAAUAUAUCUCUUGCUUGCCUAAUUCACAGAAACGUGCACAGGCAAACUGUGAUGCUAAGUGGGGGCUUUGAUCCUUUGAUGCCGGGCCCUCCUCCCACCCGGAGCCAUACCUAUUUCUCCCUUGCCCGUUCUCCUGCCUCUGCGUUCAGAUGUGCUUCAGGCCUGAGACAGGAGGAACCUAUCAAUGAAGGAGGAAAUGUUCCCCAGCUCCUCAAACACGAGGCCUCCUUCUGCAACUCAACUUUCUGCUCCCAGGACAGGAUAAUCUGAAGACCCCACCGCUUCACCUCAUCUGAAGACUCAGUUAAAGAGGAGCGGGCAGGCAGCUGGGGGAUUCAUUCUCUGGGAGUGGGAGCAGAAGGGAGCCCCUUGUCUUGUUUUUGUUCCUUCCCAGUUGACCCACAGCUGGAGUGCGGGCUGGGCAAGUAGGUGCUGGGCAACUUCUGGGGAGACUCAGGCCUCCUUAUUGGCCAUCACAAAGCCCCAGAGAAAAAGAUGCUUCCAAAAACUGCAAGAUAAGAGGAACAGGUAAAGGUCAUGGGAGGAUUAAGUAGAGCACAGCAGGCUGCUUCACGAACCCUCUGUGGCCUUCCCCAGGUGGGCCAGCAUGGCAGCUGCUAACAUUGAGUCUAGGCCAUCAGGCAAGGUGAAUUAGGGACAGUACCAGUGGGGAAAGUACCUCGGUGUAGCCCAUGCACUGUCUGCCACCCACCCAUGAAGUUCAACCUCUUCUAGUGCUCUUUUCUGUUUUCAUGGUCCUGGAGUGACUUGACCUCAUUUAGUCAUUCUAUGAUUAUCCCAUUUACAGGCAAGGAGCAUUUUUAUUGUUGUUAAUGCUCUUAACUCUAGCAAGCUAUGAAUUUAGGACGUGUCUGUGCCCUUUGGCAAACUUACUGUCUCCUUAGGAAUUUUGUGCCCGAUUUCUUUUGCUCUUCCAGACUGCUGCCCAUGCUCCUCUGCCCUGCCGAGCACUCUGGGAGAUGGACCUGGUUGGACACUAGAGCUCCACCCUGCAGCUUCCAGGUGGGCUCAGUAGAUGGAGAUCCUGGAGGAGACUGUAGAGCAGCUGCUGGCACAGUUGUCCUGGAGCUACCUGGGCCCAGAUGCCCCAGCUCUCUCCAUGCAGACCAUUCUACCUACCUCUCCUCUCAUACUGGGCUCUCCGUGUAGCAGACUCAUGUCUGUCUUGUGCACUGCUGUGUUCCUGGCACCAUGGGGGAGCGUGGUGCAGAGCAAGUUUCCUCAGAUGGCCCUUUGUGGAUGGACUACAGGAGCAGAGAUGUGCAAGAAGCAAGUUUCAGAAGGAAUUCAAACCAAAAUGUAGAGUUUGAAGGCAACAGUGACCUUUGCAAUCAUACCUCCCUGUUAUUCAGUAACAAAGCCACCACCAUGUAUCAAGCACCCACAGGCCACACCUGUCUUCUGGACGAUUUUCGGGGCAUCAUAUUUCAAUGUUCUGUCCAUUUCCAGGCACAAAGUGCUUUCACUCACAUUCGGUCCUUGCUGCAACUGCAAGCCACUGAAGACAGGUGUGUCUGAUCCCAACGUGGAGCCCACAGUAACAGCAAGCAGCGACUGUUGCUUGUGCAGGAGGCCCUGUGUGCCACAUGUUGCUCUUCACUACUGAUCAGGGCUGUUUACGUGGGUCCCAUCACAGCUGCUCUGUGACUAGGGAACUUGACGUCUCCAUUUUUCAACUGAAAACACAGAAGUACAAAGGGGUUCACCACCUUGUCCACGGUUGCCCUGCUUCUAACUGGUCAUGUUGGAAUAAAAACAAGCAACUGUCAUCCGGGAUAUUAACCACGCAGGCUGUGGUGUUGCAAAGCAGGGGAGCACGGAGCAGGGAGCAUACCACCCUGCUGAGAUCAGCUCACUCACAAGUGGCAGGGCUAGGGCUGCAGUGCAGCUCACUUACGGGCACUGUGUAAGCCUGAAAGCAAAGUCCACAUCCAAAGGUCGUAGUGGCCCCAAAACAGCUUCCUGACCUGCUUCUGUGGUCCCAGACCUCUUGCUGCUGAGGUACCUUAGCUUUCCAAUUACUCUUGCCAAUUCUGCCUGCCCAGUACUGCUAAAAGGCCACUUCCCUCCGUCCCAUGGCCUCAAACACACUUCAGAGAGAAUUUCUGGGCACUUUCAGAAGGCUGGUCACUACAGCACAAAAGAAGUCAAAGUUAUCGCGUUAGUGCUCCCAAAUCUGAGGCACAGUUUGGAGAUGGGGGCUCUGAGUCAAGGGGCAGGCUGGGGACUGUUCCGGUGCCUGUGACUAUGGGACUGAGUCAGUCACAGCCCCUCUCAUUUUCACCAGUGAAGGACAUAAUGUAUACAGUGUUGCAUUUCCAAGACAAAGUGCCUUAAAUUGGCUUAGGUCAGCAGACUACAGAAGAAACAGGAUAUUCGAGGCCCCUGCUUGGAUAGCUGAUGCCUGCUUGUAGGCCUCCCCCUUUCCCCGCUUACCCCCCAUUAGUUGCCUUCACCAGAACCGAAGAAGUUUAGUCUAAAAUGAAAGCUUACUACUAGCCUGCAAAAUAGCUCCCUUUGUCUGUUCUUAUCAGCCAGCCCAGCUACUUAGGUCGUAAGUGAAAUACUUGAAGAGCCCCUGAGCUGACUAGGAUUGCAAUGCAUUGUGGGCUGUGACAAAAUGCAGCAAGACAACCCUAAAAACAAACAAACAAACAAAAACACCUAAAGCCCCUGCCUAACAAUCAAUAGGUGACGUCCAGGAAGGUUGUGACCCCAUAGUACUCAGCCUGUGGGAAACUGGGGGAGGAGCCUGCACACUAGUGGACAAAUUGCUUGUUGAAACUGCUGGGUGUGCCUGUCCGUCAGACACCCGAUUUUGCAAGACUGACUGUUUAUUAAAAAUCUCACUUUCGCU
Molecule: long non-coding RNA, 5708 nt
Filed under: Homo sapiens (human)
Lineage: Eukaryota; Metazoa; Chordata; Mammalia; Primates; Hominidae
Description: HSALNT0331546
Source: RNAcentral